CCUACGGGAGACAGCAGUGGGGAAUAUUGCACAAUGGGGGAAACUCUGAUGCAGCGACGCCGCGUGAGUGAAGAAGUCUUUCGGUAUGUAAAGCUCUAUCAGCAGGGAAGAAAAUGACGGUACCUGAUUAAGAAGCCCCGGCUCACUCCGUUCCAGCAGCAGCGGUAAUACGUAGGGGGCAAGCGUUAUCCGGAUUUACUGGGUGUAAAGGGAGCGUAGACGGCAGCACAAGUCUGGAGUGAAAUGCCGGGGCUUAACCCCGGAACUGCUUUGGAAACUGUGCAGCUAGAGAGCAGGAGAGGUAAGUGGAAUGCCUAGUGUAGCGGUGAAAUGCGUAGAGAUUAGGAGGAACACCAGUGGCGAAGGCGGCUUACUGGACUGUAACUGACGUUGAGGCUCGAAAGCGUGGGGAGCAAACAGGAUUAGAUACCCCAGUAGUC
RNAcentral lists this ribosomal RNA (440 nucleotides) under uncultured bacterium. RNAcentral describes it as "partial 16S ribosomal RNA". It matches the Rfam family "Bacterial small subunit ribosomal RNA", at positions 338 to 795 of the family's 1533-position model. The record is from RNAcentral.